UGCCAAAAUCCAACCCUAAAACCCACAUCUAAAAACACUAAAAACUUAAACUAACUAAAAACACCUCUGCAACACGAAGUUCUCCAGGGAAAGCACAGAGCACAACCUCCUCCCCUGCAGCUGCAUUAGGAAAAAUCCACCCAUCGCCUGCCCAUGGUGAUCUCAAGCCCUAAAUUUAAACUAGGAAAUCAGCUGUCAUUGGGAAAGUAACCUGGGUAUUUUCAGCCACGGAAGAGGAGGAUUCCUGGCAUAGCCUGGGGCUGCUCCGUGGCAAUCACAGCCCUCAGUUACCUUUUGUGGGAAUAAACCCCGGGGAUGGCCCCGGGCAGGUUCAGCUGGUGUGAGGUGUGAUGGGUGCAGGUGCAGCCCACGCCCAGGCCAGCUUCACAUCCCCUGACACAGCCAAGCCCUGGAAAGUCUUUGCAAAGCCCAAAUGUACCUAAACAGUGGUUAUUGGCCCCAGAAAGAGUUAGUCCCUAAGCACUGCUAUCAAAGAGUUGGCUGAGUCCAUAAAUGCAGGCAGGGAAACGGGCUGAUUAGCCCUCAGCUGGUCGAAAAUGUGCUUCUCAUGGCUGUUGUCCUGCUGCGCUGUGGAAGUCCCUCAGGAUUCUCCAGGGCUGGGAAGGAGGACUGGCACUGCCCAUCCCACACUCCCACCCCUGCAGAGGAGAGAGGAGAAGCUGAAGGCAUUAAGCAGACAUUUGCAUCUAUAUUCUGCAAGUAGCAGAUGCAAAGGAAGAGAUUCAUUUCCCCUAACAUAAGCCAUCUAAAAAUUAAAUGCUGAUAGUCAUCUUGGAUUCUUUUUAAACCUAGAUUAAAAUAGCUGCUAUGUGCAGGUCUGCCCUGCUCUCUCCCCAGAGAUUACAGAAAGCACUCAAGUGCCAAACUUAAAUAGGGGGCUGAAAUUAAACCAGAGGUAUCCCACCCUCAGCACAACUCCUGAAUGCAUGGCCUUGUAUCCAAAGCACACUGGAAUCCCUGGAAAAAUCACGGCUGUAAUCCUGGAAGGGUGCUUCAGUCCUCUGCUGCCGCUGAGGGAUUCGGGGAGGUCAGGCUGACCUGAGCUGGUCAGAGCGACCUGCCCUGCCGGCUGCCAGCACCCCAGCAUCCAGCACCCUUCAGGACAGCACAGCAAGGUCCAUUUGCCUGGGCUCAAAUGGAGAGGCAGAAGUGGAAGCAAAGAAGGUGCUUGUGCUCCUGAUGACUGGGAUUGAUCCCUGCUGAGAUCAGUUGCUUGGGAUACUUUUACUGUCAGAUAUCCUGAGCCCUACCAGAGCAGCAUCACUCUGAAAGCAUUGGAAUGAGCAUCUCUGGGGUGCAAAGACAGGAAGUACAGUAAAAUCCUCAAAAAAGGGUCUAACAGGGUGAAGAAAAAGAAAAUACAAGGAAUUUAAAUGUGUCUGUGGCCUCUGUUUUUCACUGCUCUUCGC
RNAcentral lists this long non-coding RNA (1430 nucleotides) under Cyanistes caeruleus (blue tit). RNAcentral describes it as "lncRNA (ENSCCEG00000018229.1)". The record is from RNAcentral. Lineage: Eukaryota; Metazoa; Chordata; Aves; Passeriformes; Paridae.